GUUGGUUGACCUCUAGCCAGGAGGUGGUGCUUUCAAGAGAGCAUCAGCUGUGGUACUAUAGAGAGGAUACAAGUUUGCCCUAGGGUUGCCUGGAUAAGUAUUCGGGUUUCUCAGGUGAUGGGCAGGGCCAUAGAGCUCCCAAGAGAUUAUGUCCUUUGUCUUCUGCUACCAGGGCAGGUAGAGAAAGACCAUCAGGUGGGGGCAGGGUUAGUUGUAUCUGAGUUCAGACUCUUGUUGGGUGGGGCUUGCUGUGACUGCUGUGGGGGAUAAGGGUGUGGUUCUCAGGCCAAUGGAGUUAUGUUCCCAGGGGGAUUAUGGCUGCCUCUGCCGUGUCAUACAGGUCGCCAGGGAAGUGGGGGAAAGCCGACAGUGACAGGUGUUACCCAGCUCCCACGCAGCUGGAAAGGCUGGUCUCACUGUCAGCAUGCUCCCCCAACAGCAUCAAGUUUAUUUCCAGGCAGCAGGCGAGCAGGGCUGAGAACUUGUCCCAGGCUACAAGCCUCCCUGCUGACAACAGAAGCAGGGCUUUCAGGUUUUAUGCCUCUCUGCCUGCCACAGCUUCUGUGCUUGUAUCUGCACUCCCUGUUUGACCCCCUCCCCAGAUUCUGUCCAGGAAACUUCAUGUUCGGUAGAAAUUGUUAUAAAAUUCAACUGGAAGUUUUCCUCUCCCUCUGGUUUUUCCUCAAUUCCACUGGCAGCCCUCCCCAAGUUGCAAGAUAAAGACAGAAAAGGCUUCCCUGAGGACUGAGAGUGCCCACAGGGCUCUUGCUGCUGCUUUCUCUACCCCUAUAUUUUGUGCGGCUCUCAGCAUUUGUCUCAGCUCCAGAAUCCAGAGCCUGACUGGCUGUGACGCGCCCAUGGUGACACCAAGGGGACUCUGCAUGGGCACAUCCCGGCCCUCCUCCCUGCAUGUUCUCCAAGCCAGGUCUUUGAAACCUCCAGUGAUGGGAAUGACAGAAUCUGGGAUGAUUUUCUUCUGUUUCUUAUCUAAAAAAACAACAAAAAGCUCAGCAUACACGGACUCACACAAACCUUUUGCUAGAGGCAGCUCUGUAGACUUAAGACGCUGUCAUUUUUCAGAAGAACCCAGCUUGCUUUGGAACUACAGUCAGCCCUGCAACCCACCCUCACCUUGGACCCUGCUGCUGCUGUCUGUAAAGGGUCUGGAUGAAGGAAGGGAGCCUCCAGCUUGUCGGCUGUACUUGCCCAGAAUUUAGCCUUUGCAACAUGGAGCUGCGGGGAUGGGAAAUGUUGUCCACUAGCCUUCCACAAUGCUGCGAUGAAUACACCUGUGCAUUCUUUUUUAGAACAAGUGUAAGAAUUCCUAUGUGGCUGGACGGUACUGCUGCCAUCUCGGCUCACUGCAACCUCC
Molecule: long non-coding RNA, 1372 nt
Filed under: Homo sapiens (human)
Lineage: Eukaryota; Metazoa; Chordata; Mammalia; Primates; Hominidae
Description: HSALNT0358338
Source: RNAcentral